GACGAACGCUGGCGGCGUGCCUAAUACAUGCAAGUAGAACGCUGAAGGAGGAGCUUGCUCUUCUGGAUGAGUUGCGAACGGGUGAGUAACGCGUAGGUAACCUGCCUGGUAGCGGGGGAUAACUAUUGGAAACGAUAGCUAAUACCGCAUAACAGUAGAUGUUGCAUGACAUUUGCUUAAAAGGUGCAAUUGCAUCACUACCAGAUGGACCUGCGUUGUAUUAGCUAGUUGGUGGGGUAACGGCUCACCAAGGCGACGAUACAUAGCCGACCUGAGAGGGUGAUCGGCCACUCUGGGACUGAGACACGGCCCAGACUCCUACGGGAGGCAGCAGUAGGGAAUCUUCGGCAAUGGACGGAAGUCUGACCGAGCAACGCCGCGUGAGUGAAGAAGGUUUUCGGAUCGUAAAGCUCUGUUGUAAGAGAAGAACGAGUGUGAGAGUGGAAAGUUCACACUGUGACGGUAUCUUACCAGAAAGGGACGGCUAACUACGUG
Molecule: ribosomal RNA, 495 nt
Filed under: uncultured bacterium
Lineage: Bacteria
Description: partial 16S ribosomal RNA
Rfam family: Bacterial small subunit ribosomal RNA
Source: RNAcentral